ACUCCUACGGGAGGCAGCAGUAGGGAAUCUUCCACAAUGGGCGCAAGCCUGAUGGAGCAACACCGCGUGAGUGAAGAAGGGUUUCGGCUCGUAAAGCUCUGUUGUUAAAGAAGAACACGUAUGAGAGUAACUGUUCAUACGUUGACGGUAUUUAACCAGAAAGUCACGGCUAACUACGUGCCAGCAGCCGCGGUAAUACGUAGGUGGCAAGCGUUAUCCGGAUUUAUUGGGCGUAAAGAGAGUGCAGGCGGUUUUCUAAGUCUGAUGUGAAAGCCUUCGGCUUAACCGGAGAAGUGCAUCGGAAACUGGAUAACUUGAGUGCAGAAGAGGGUAGUGGAACUCCAUGUGUAGCGGUGGAAUGCGUAGAUAUAUGGAAGAACACCAGUGGCGAAGGCGGCUACCUGGUCUGCAACUGACGCUGAGACUAC
This 428-nucleotide ribosomal RNA is filed under the name uncultured bacterium. Its description in RNAcentral is "bacterial SSU rRNA". It matches the Rfam family "Bacterial small subunit ribosomal RNA", at positions 335 to 754 of the family's 1533-position model. The record is from RNAcentral.